AGAGGUAUCUGAUAAAUAUUUUAAGAAUAUGAGAAAAUAUUGAAAAUGUUUUGGGUUUAUAAUUUAUUUAUUUUCAAACAAAUAAUUUUGAUAAUAUAUAUACAUAUAUAUAUCCAUAAAGUAUUAGAGUGUAUUUGUAUUGAAUAUGUACCUCACACAUGAAGAAUAUUGAAGUAUCAUUCAUACCUAUUUAGAACUUGCCCAAACAAUGCUAUAUAUACGAGCUGAGCCUGUGAUAUAAACAUCAUAACCAGAACUAUUGUAGAGAAAAUAAACUCAGCUAUGGCUACCCUUACUGCUCCCAGCCACUAUUCCCCUGUUGAAGAUGCAGAAGCUCUCCAAAAAUCUUUCAAAGGUUUAUUAUUUCACUAAUUAUUCAUGAAAAACUUGUUUCUUUUUCCUGUCUUGGUUUAUGAAUUUGCAUGGUAUUUUCAGUUAAUCUUGAACAUGCAUUAACUUAAAUUGAUUGCGACAUGCAUCAAUGGUUUUAAACUCAUCAGGAUGGGGUGCUGAUGAUAAGACCAUUAUAGCAAUACUAGGCCAUAGAAAUGUUGAUCAGAGGCAGAAAAUCAGAAAAGCUUAUGAGGAACUUUUCCAAGAGGAUCUCAUCAAACGCCUUGAGUCUGAGAUAUCCGGUGACUUUGAGGUACCAUAAAAGCAUGAUAUUUCUAAUGUUUCCACAAAGUUUUAGUUUAGAGGGUAAUAUCUAUGAAACUAUCGGUGUAAAGAUUUAUACAAAGUCGAUAUAAUCUGCUAUUUACUUGUAUUACAAUUUUUGAAGAGUUAAUGGUGAUUGAAAAUGAAUGGUGAAUGAUAGGCCGACCACGUAUAAAACUUUUACACUACAGUGCAUACAUUAUUUUCUCUUUAGUUUAAUAUCAAAAUUAAAUAUAAAGCGGUUUAUGCAAAUCAGAGAGCUGUGUAUCGCUGGAUGUUAGAACCUGCAGACCGUGAUGCUGUUUUGGCCAAUGUGGCAUUUAUAAAGCACUUUUAAAAAUCAAUUUUUAAAUAGUGAUUUUUUGAAUUUUUUUAGAAAAAUUAUUUUUUACAAUAUUCUACACGCAUGAGAGUUUUAAGGUUCUACGUGUAAAGUUUUUAAAAAAUACUUAUAGAGUGUAAUAUCUAUGCACUGUUACUGUAAAGAUUUGUACAUAAUCACUAUAUCAUCUACCAUUUAUUUGAAUUUUGUUUUUGAAGAGUCAAUUAUGAAUAAAUAUAAAUGGUAGAUGAUGCGGUGAUAGUGCAUAAAGCUCAUGCAUUCUUAGUGUAUACAUUUUUCUCAUACUUAUAUAUGUUAUGUACUUCAGAAUAAAAUUUUAAUAUUAACUACAUACACACACGUUAUAUAAUUUACAUCAAUUUAAUAAAAUAUUAAAAGUGAGAGUGUGAAUCAUGAAUGAAUUUAGUUUUCUUAAAUAUUAAAUGAAAUUCCAAAGCAAAAAAUUUUAUUUUUGAAUUUUGGUUUUUUUGAUGGAUUGGAUAUCAAUCCAAAUGAAUAUAUCAUUGAAUAUUCAUCGGAUAUAAUGAAUGAAUUUGAAUUCAUCCAUUCUCAAUACUAUACAUUGGAUUAUAUCCAUUUAAGUCCAUUAGCUCUAAUGGAUGGAUAUGAAUUGUGGAUUAUGAAUAAUUUUGUCACCUCAAAUUAUUUAUAUACAUUUCCUCUUCAUUCUUUAUGCAAUAAUAUAUACUUUGUGUUUUUUUCUCAUUAUAGGUCAACUUAGUAUAUUGAAUGUUAUGUUUUUCUCUUCUACUUAAAUGAUAGUGUAUUAUAAUUUUCUCUCUCAAUGUUCUUGAAUGGUAGUUUGGGUGCCCAAGAGGUAUCUGAUAAAUAUUUUAAGAAUAUGAGAAAAUAUUGAAAAUGUUUUGGGUUUAUAAUUUAUUUAUUUUCAAACAAAUAAUUUUGAUAAUAUAUAUACAUAUAUAUAUCCAUAAAGUAUUAGAGUGUAUUUGUAUUGAAUAUGUACCUCACACAUGAAGAAUAUUGAAGUAUCAUUCAUACCUAUUUAGAACUUGCCCAAACAAUGCUAUAUAUACGAGCUGAGCCUGUGAUAUAAACAUCAUAACCAGAACUAUUGUAGAGAAAAUAAA
This 2088-nucleotide long non-coding RNA is filed under the name Lupinus angustifolius (narrow-leaved blue lupine). Its description in RNAcentral is "long non-coding RNA (LANG_LNC003581)". Lineage: Eukaryota; Viridiplantae; Streptophyta; Magnoliopsida; Fabales; Fabaceae. The record is from RNAcentral.